UGGGGAAUAUUGCACAAUGGGGGAAACCCUGAUGCAGCGACGCCGCGUGGGCGAGGAAGUACCUCGGUAUGUAAAGCCCUAUCAGCAGGGAAGAAAACGACAGUACCUGACUAAGAAGCCCCGGCUAACUACGUGCCAGCAGCCGCGGUAAUACGUAGGGGGCAAGCGUUAUCCGGAUUCACUGGGCGUAAAGGGAGCGCAGGCGGCAUGGCAAGUCUGAUGUGAAAACCCGGGGCCCAACCCCGGGAGUGCAUUGGAAACUGCCAGGCUGGAGUGUCGGAGGGGUAAGCGGAAUUCCUAGUG
RNAcentral lists this ribosomal RNA (303 nucleotides) under uncultured bacterium. RNAcentral's name for it is "bacterial SSU rRNA". It matches the Rfam family "Bacterial small subunit ribosomal RNA", at positions 355 to 675 of the family's 1533-position model. The record is from RNAcentral.